Molecule: ribosomal RNA, 241 nt
Filed under: uncultured Gardnerella sp.
Lineage: Bacteria; Bacillati; Actinomycetota; Actinomycetes; Bifidobacteriales; Bifidobacteriaceae
Description: partial 16S ribosomal RNA
Rfam family: Bacterial small subunit ribosomal RNA
Source: RNAcentral
GCGUGACCAACCUGCCCACUGCUCCAGAAUAGCUCUUGGAAACGGGUGGUAAUGCUGGAUGCUCCAACUUGACGCAUGUCUUGUUGGGAAAGUGUUUAGUGGCAUGGGAUGGGGGUCGCGUCCUAUCAGCUUGUAGGCGGGGUAAUGGCCCACCUAGGCUUCGACGGGUAGCCGGCCUGAGAGGGCGGACGGCCACAUUGGGACUGAGAUACGGCCCAGACUCCUACGGGAGGCAGCAGUC